CCUACGGGAGGCAGCAGUGGGGAAUUUUGGACAAUGGGCGCAAGCCUGAUCCAGCAAUGCCGCGUGCAGGAUGAAGGCCUUCGGGUUGUAAACUGCUUUUGUACGGAACGAAACGGCUUCUCCUAAUACGAGAGGCUAAUGACGGUACCGUAAGAAUAAGCACCGGCUAACUACGUGCCAGCAGCCGCGGUAAUACGUAGGGUGCAAGCGUUAAUCGGAAUUACUGGGCGUAAAGCGUGCGCAGGCGGUUAUAUAAGACAGAUGUGAAAUCCCCGGGCUCAACCUGGGACCUGCAUUUGUGACUGUAUAGCUAGAGUACGGUAGAGGGGGAUGGAAUUCCGCGUGUAGCAGUGAAAUGCGUAGAUAUGCGGAGGAACACCGAUGGCGAAGGCAAUCCCCUGGACCUGUACUGACGCUCAUGCACGAAAGCGUGGGGAGCAAACAGGAUUAGAUACCCUGGUAGUCCACGCCCUAAACGAUGUCAACUGGUUGUUGGGUCUUCACUGACUCAGUAACGAAGCUAACGCGUGAAGUUGACCGCCUGGGGAGUACGGCCGCAAGGUUGAAACUCAAAUGAAUUGACGG
This 585-nucleotide ribosomal RNA is filed under the name uncultured bacterium. RNAcentral describes it as "bacterial SSU rRNA". It matches the Rfam family "Bacterial small subunit ribosomal RNA", at positions 338 to 916 of the family's 1533-position model. The record is from RNAcentral.